Ostrea edulis (European flat oyster) is the source of this 1400-nucleotide long non-coding RNA. RefSeq lists it as uncharacterized. The record is from RefSeq and is a predicted model, not a curated record. The transcript has 3 exons. NCBI's taxonomy places the organism in Eukaryota, Metazoa, Mollusca, Bivalvia, Ostreida, Ostreidae.
AGAUUGUGGCAAAACAGAAGGACUGGGGGGAAACUCUCCACAUGGACGAAGAGUUUAACAAACCACUUAUACUGGGUCGCCGCUUCAACACCCGACGGAAAUGAUGGAGUGAUGUGGGCAAAAUGGGAGUCUGUGGACAACCACAUUCACAACGUCCAUGAGGGUCAUGGCCAACUUUUCCCGACUUGUGCCCACAACUUGAGGGGGAAAAGCAGAGAAAGAAGUGGUUAAAACCAGGUACCAAGGAGAGUGAGGAAAUGAGCAACAUCAUAUUGUCAAGCCAAAUGAAGAAGGAUAUACCCAAGCUAUCGCCAUUGUUUCAAACUUCCCAAAUUGAAGCCUGUUGAUCCAACAAUUAACUAUGCAUCAGUCCUGAUGAAGGAGACUUAUUUGGCCUUUCAAGAGUCAUCAGAACCAUUACCAUGCUCAUUGCCAGCUCAACCACCUCCACUCUGCAGUGAAUUUUUCCAUCCUGACAAAGAAGAAGCGGUUCUACAUUUUAGAUCGAGGUUCAGUCGGAAGGAGACAUCCAUUUUAGCAAAGCAGAUAAAAGAUAUGUUGGUCAUACAGAUGUGUUCUUUUUAAUCUUGUUUAAAAAUGUUAAAUCAUUGUGAAACAUCUUUAUUUUCGGGUUUUGUUUAAAUCUGAACCAAAGUCAUAUACAGGAGUAGGUUGUGUAAACAAAUUAUUUUUUACAAAUAAAAAAUUACUGGGGACAACCAUGAUAUAGGGUCUGACCGUUAGGUAACAAUCUGUUUGGAACAGUGUAUUUUUGCAAAUAAUUUAUAGAAUGAAAUAUUAGCAUAGUAUAUGUAGUAUUAGCUUAGUAUAUAUGAUAGUUGUAAGAGUUAAAAAAUGAUAAAACUUUUUUUUAAAUGGGAACAUGAAAGCAGGGUCCUCGUCCCAUUCCUGGGUGCAGAAACAUUUUAUUUAAAAUAUUGUUUGUGUAGCUGAUGCUUUCUAAAAAAUGAUAUUUUGUAGUAUUCUGUUUUGCCAGUAUAUAAUUAUGAUAUUUUUUACUACUAUUAUGUUCAUAAAUGUAUUAUUUUUGGGCCAUUUCUGUUAGAAUGUUGUGCUUGAAUUUUUUUGUAUACAUCAUGUAUGAAUCGUACAUUUGUUUAAAAAAAAGUUGCUUCAUCCAAAUCAUACCAUCACUCAGGUGCAUUGAACCCUUGAUACACCUCAGAGGCAAAGGGAUUCCGUCACAGCACAUGAGGGUAGAGGGACUCGUGCCUAGUGCCCUAGGUAUCCUUAGCACCAUCAAACAAAUUGUCUGUGUACUGUGUAUCUGUUACACCUGUAAUUCCAGGAAAUGUUUGGAAUUAUUCACUAAUGAUAAACUAGCAAUGGGACCCAAUGGUCAUGUGAAUUUUGUAUUGAUUAGAUUAAUAAAAAACUGA